GAGGGUAUAACUCAGUGGUAGAGUGCGUGCUUAGCAUGCAUGAGGUCCUGGGUUCAAUCCCCAGUACCUCCA
Molecule: transfer RNA, 72 nt
Filed under: Camelus bactrianus (Bactrian camel)
Lineage: Eukaryota; Metazoa; Chordata; Mammalia; Artiodactyla; Camelidae
Also listed under: 1 other name
Rfam family: tRNA
About the family: Transfer RNA (tRNA) molecules are approximately 80 nucleotides in length. Their secondary structure includes four short double-helical elements and three loops (D, anti-codon, and T loops).
Source: Rfam by way of RNAcentral